This 424-nucleotide ribosomal RNA is filed under the name uncultured prokaryote. RNAcentral describes it as "bacterial SSU rRNA". It matches the Rfam family "Bacterial small subunit ribosomal RNA", at positions 355 to 796 of the family's 1533-position model. The record is from RNAcentral.
UGGGGAAUCUUAGACAAUGGGGGAAACCCUGAUCUAGCCAUGCCGCGUGUGUGAUGAAGGCCUUAGGGUCGUAAAGCACUUUCGCCAGGGAAGAUAAUGACGGUACCUGGUAAAGAAACCCCGGCUAACUCCGUGCCAGCAGCCGCGGUAAUACGGAGGGGGUUAGCGUUGUUCGGAAUUACUGGGCGUAAAGCGCGCGUAGGCGGAUCGGAAAGUUGGGGGUGAAAUCCCGGGGCUCAACCCCGGAACUGCCUCCAAAACUAUCGGUCUUGAGUUCGAGAGAGGUGAGUGGAAUUCCGAGUGUAGAGGUGAAAUUCGUAGAUAUUCGGAGGAACACCAGUGGCGAAGGCGGCUCACUGGCUCGAUACUGACGCUGAGGUGCGAAAGCGUGGGGAGCAAACAGGAUUAGAUACCCCCGUAGUCC